UUUCUCAAUCAUCAUUCCUCUCCUCAAACAAAACCCUAAUCUGCCUCCAGGAUCUCAAUCUGUCUCUUCCGGAUCUUAAUCAACAAUCGACGAUCGAUAUCAGAUUUCCAGAGCAUAUUCAAAGACCAUCCAAAUCAAAGCCGAAUCUUCUCCACUUCUCUCAUCCCAAUCAUUGUUGCAAAUGCUCAAGAACGAUUCUUGCAUAUCAUCAAGAACUAUCCACAUAAUCAAAGCGCUCUGUUCUGUUCCGCUUUGUUAGCAAUUUACAUCUUGCUAUCUGAGGUUGGGUAUCAUGCUUGUGCGGGUUGUCCAUAAUUGGUUGGAAGCUAUUCAAGGAAUCAAGGGCGGAGGUUAAUGGUGGCCCGGUGGUGCAACACCUACACCUAUCUUUUGCGGGUAGUAUUAGUUUUACCAUUUCUUUUGUAGUGUAAAGUAUUGGAUUUUAGUUGUUAGUAAGAAUUACGUAACUUAAUGGUUGCCUAACCUUAGAUAUGGUGCAUGGAGGUUAUAUAAAAUACUAAUCUUACAAGAUGGAAAUGAUGAUAUAGCAUGGACACGAAAUUCCAAUAGUUCAUAGAGCUAUAAAGGUUCAUGAGUAUCAACAUAUUGGAGAAGUUUAUGUCCUUGCAAAAGGAGACAACAAUAGCUAUGGAGAUGACAUGUUUUUGUAUACUCAAGGCCAGAUGUGGUUGAAGCGGCAUCAUAUCACAUGGAGGGCAAUCUAAAGAAAUUUACCGUUCGUCAUAAUCAUAAAGGGGAGGCUUUUGAAGCGAUACAAAUGGCUAAGAGAAUCUUGACUGAGAAAGGAUCCAAACACGAGCAUAGAAGCGUGUCACCUCUAUCAAAAGUUUUAGAAUAAUGCAGUAGCGAGUAGGGAACUUUUGCGGCUAUUUGAAAGGUGCUUCAGGGCCGAGAACUAUGUGUAAACAACCAUGGUAAGUGUUGGUAAGGGCUGCCAAAACAGAUUGAGAACGCCAAGACAACAAUGAACGUUUCUGGUCUGAAUCGAGGUGUAUGAAUGACGGGUCUGUACAAACAACCAUGACUGUGAGUAUAUGAAGAAAAAAAGUGAGAGCUAGGGCUUUUUGUGCACAAGAAGGAGUUAUGAUAAGAAUGAUUGCACCUAAAGACAACUCAUAUAUUAGCAAGCAUGCCAGGUUCAACCUGAUAAAAUUCCUGAUGAUCCUCAAGCUAUCAAGAGAUAAUCGAAACAAUCCUUGCUGUGUGAAUAUGAAUACUUUUAGAGGAACAUAUGUUAUUGUACUUGUGUGUAGAUUAUUUUUUUCUUUUUUAUCAUUUUUUAUUGUUUUCAUGUUGCUUUAGCGGCAUGUAAAAAUUAAUCUGCUAAUAGUGUU
RNAcentral lists this long non-coding RNA (1355 nucleotides) under Helianthus annuus (common sunflower). RNAcentral describes it as "hypothetical non coding rna". Lineage: Eukaryota; Viridiplantae; Streptophyta; Magnoliopsida; Asterales; Asteraceae. The record is from RNAcentral.